CUGGUAGUGGGGGAUAACGUCCGGAAACGGGCGCUAAUACCGCAUACGUCCUGAGGGAGAAAGUGGGGGAUCUUCGGACCUCACGCUAUCAGAUGAGCCUAGGUCGGAUUAGCUAGUUGGUGGGGUAAAGGCCUACCAAGGCGACGAUCCGUAACUGGUCUGAGAGGAUGAUCAGUCACACUGGAACUGAGACACGGUCCAGACUCCUACGGGAGGCAGCAGUGGGGAAUAUUGGACAAUGGGCGAAAGCCUGAUCCAGCCAUGCCGCGUGUGUGAAGAAGGUCUUCGGAUUGUAAAGCACUUUAAGUUGGGAGGAAGGGCAGUAAGUUAAUACCUUGCUGUUUUGACGUUACCAACAGAAUAAGCACCGGCUAACUUCGUGCCAGCAGCCGCGGUAAUACGAAGGGUGCAAGCGUUAAUCGGAAUUACUGGGCGUAAAGCGCGCGUAGGUGGUUCAGCAAGUUGGAUGUGAAAUCCCCGGGCUCAACCUGGGAACUGCAUCCAAAACUACUGAGCUAGAGUACGGUAGAGGGUGGUGGAAUUUCCUGUGUAGCGGUGAAAUGCGUAGAUAUAGGAAGGAACACCAGUGGCGAAGGCGACC
RNAcentral lists this ribosomal RNA (601 nucleotides) under uncultured Pseudomonadaceae bacterium. RNAcentral describes it as "SSU rRNA". It matches the Rfam family "Bacterial small subunit ribosomal RNA", at positions 130 to 726 of the family's 1533-position model. Lineage: Bacteria; Pseudomonadati; Pseudomonadota; Gammaproteobacteria; Pseudomonadales; Pseudomonadaceae. The record is from RNAcentral.